GAGCAGAGGUGGCCUUGAGGCUGCUUGUUUUAUUUGUAACUUUGCAUUGUGGGAUCCUGUUGGUCACAGAAGUGGCAGCACAUUUGAGCAAAACCACUGAGAACUGGAUCAUCUGCCUCUGCUUAUUACACUGCAGCAUAGGAAUAGCCAAAGCACCUGAAAACAGUGGCCAGUGAGGACACACUGAAAAUACAUACCCUGGAAAGAAAAGUCUACAUUUAUUCCGAGAUUUUGAACUACGAAGAAGGAGACCUAAGAUAAUGCAUUUUACCUCAUAUAUGGACAGAGUGGGAGCAAGAAUACUGUAUUUUCCAGUGGCUCAGCUAAAACCCAACAACUUGUAAGCUGCAGUUACUUGAUCUUUAUUGAUUAUGUUUGUGCAUUCUAGAGUUUAAAACAAAUUUUCCCUUA
Molecule: long non-coding RNA, 411 nt
Organism: Pogoniulus pusillus (Red-fronted tinkerbird)
Lineage: Eukaryota; Metazoa; Chordata; Aves; Piciformes; Lybiidae
Exons: 3
Source: RefSeq, a predicted model, not a curated record